This is a long non-coding RNA of Lagopus muta (rock ptarmigan), 8929 nucleotides long. RefSeq lists it as uncharacterized. The record is from RefSeq and is a predicted model, not a curated record. The transcript is spliced from 3 exons. Lineage: Eukaryota; Metazoa; Chordata; Aves; Galliformes; Phasianidae.
UCGGAGAGCAGCCAAUGUGCUCAAAUAAUGCUUUGUGAGCUUGUGGUGCAGCUGUGCUGGAAGCUUUCAGAUAAGGGCAGAAGUGAGGAGCGUGGGGGCAGCCCUGCUGCUGUUGAAUUGCACAGAGAUUUAUGAGCCACACAGAGAGGUACGGAGAAGUUCUGCCUUCCCAAGAACUUGUGUGCAAACAACUGGAGCUUCCAUGUGGGGCUGUGCUGAGUGCUAAAGACACAGAGCUGGGAUCUGUUCUUCUCAGUGGAGCGCCUUCCUCUGCAGGCCAGGCAUAAUUCUUGUUUCUACUCCUCUAGUUUUAUUAAAUUCCUGUAAUCCCUUUCAUAUAAAACUAUUGUGGUUUUGUUGAACACACAGUUAGACUCAGAAUCAGAGAACUUCCAAGGUUGGGAAUGACCUCCAAGAUCAUCCAUGCUACAAAAUCUGUUCUCAGUUGCUUUAGAAGAGUUGUAGAGACGGUGCUAUUUUGUUAGAUGCUUGUUCUUGUCUUAGAUCUUCUUGGAUGCUUGGCAUCUAAUGAACCACGAAAUCCAGAUGUGAGGAUUGGAUUGUUCCCUUCUCUGGGAUGCCUGUCAAUAUGUCUGUGAAGCUAACUCUGUUGGCUUACUUUGGCAUUGUUACCUUUUAUCACUUAGGUUUGAUUCUCUGAAGUGCCUUUGUAGCUCUGAGGUGUAUACUGAAGUGUUUGUUAACCAUCUUGGCCCAUAGAUAACUUCCCAGUGUAAUAAACCUGGAGCUGGGAGGGUAUUCCUUUGCAGCUGGCUGCUUAAUCAUGUAAUUGAUAACAUCUCCCACCUUUAGGGACCUUUUACAAAUGACAAGGUGAUAAUCAGGACCAAAUCACUAAAACAAAAAUGCGCUGUCUCUCGAUUUGCCAUGGAGUAUACAUGACCUGAAAUCUUCCACACGUUUCCCAGUCAAAACCAGUAGAGGUGGUGACAGCCCCAUCCUACAUACAAAUAACCACCACCUCUGUGCAGCGGCUGGUGCUGGAAAGGUUCACAAAUUCACUGCUUCUCUAUUUCAGGCACAGCUAUCUUCCAGUGCUUGCUCUGACCUUCUUGGCUGCAGCUCCAGAGUCACACUGUGCUUUUACAUCAGUACAAGUGCCUCUGCUGUGGGGCAAAAUACCCCACCAUCUUAUGAGCUCAGCUGUGCGGGAGCACAGGCCUGUGCAGUCUGUGUGCUGCUCCUGCUGGAUGCUUGGUGAAGGGGCGAGAUGGAAGCUCCCAUUUCUCCUGGAACAGACCCAACAAAAGCCAGUUUAUAGGGUGCUAAUGAUGAAGGAGUUAUUCGUAAUCCAUAUGGAUAGGUGUCCCCGGGAUGCUGGUCAGCCUCCCAUAGAAGAAUUGCACUUCAGUGCAGGUUCAGAUAAGUAUCAUUGCAGUUACAAAGUAAAAGGACAGCUGUGUCCUGAAACGGGAGAGAUAAGGACAUCAGAAGAGACAAUACCAGGAAUGCUUGAAGGGGAAAUGAGAGCUGUCAUGACACCUUCACUUCGAUGCAUGCCUGUCUUUGUGCUCUCGCAAGUGAGAGUUUCACAGCGAGGGCUCUGCUCUUCCCCAGAGAAGGGAGAAGUGCAGGCUGGGGCACAGCAAGCCCCAAACCUCUGCCAGAUGCUGUUACUGCUCUGCAUGAUUGCCUUUUCUUCCCCUGCUUAUUUCUGCCCCAUGGAGCCAGCUUGUCUGUGGAACAAACUUUAAAGAAAGAGAUGAUUUAAUAACCGCUUUGUAUUCAUGCCUUUACUGAUGAGGGUUGAAAGUGCUCUGGCAUUCACACAAGUAUCUGUGCUAUGAAGCCCAUCCCUUUGUUUUACUUCUUUUUCUUCUGUCUUUCAUCGUAGGAAAUGUUUAUUCAGUUUGGAAAAUUGCCUUUUCUGAGAUCCCCUCACGAGGUAGCAGUGCCUGGUGAGGAUAAGGACGGCACAGUGCAGAGAGGAGAGCCCAGAGUGGCUGAGGAUGAAAUUUCCAGAGGAGACUUUGAGCUCCUGCUUUGCCAGAGCCCAGCUGAUGCACAAACAGGGAAGCCAGACUCUAACAGGAGUUUCGUAUAGGUAGCGUCAGAAGAUGAGAUACAGAAAAUGCCAUUUCCCACAGUAGAGACCAGCAACAACUUGUCUGUCAAACCUGGGGAGCUGUUAGGACUGAAAAACAGCAUGGCAAGCUGAACCUGGAUGGAACAUUGUGAAAUGAGCAGCUGGGCUGCCAAGGCAGGUGGCAAAAUGAUUUCUACUGGUGGCAGUGUCACACUGCAAGAGACUGACCAGAGCAAGCUUUGAGUUGGAUACGAGCCCCAUUUCUAGUUCUAUGGAACCAACAGCACUGCUGUGAGCGUCAAAAUGCUGAGUUUUGCUGCUGUGGGGGUGGGAAACAGGUACAGCACAAUGAGUAAUGCAGUAACUGAUCAGAAUUAGCACCUGGUUCUCGUCAAGGCCAAUUCAAUAUUGCGUUUUGAAAUGAAAAUUUCAGAGCACAAGGGGAAUAAAACCUAAAGUCAUCCUGCAUCUGUCAGUUUGGACUCAAUUGGCAGCAGCUGUUAAAGCCCAUAGAUGUUUUCAGAGAGAGACAGCAGGGUCUGAUUAAUGAGACAUGAUAUCCAUAAGCAGCUGUAAUCAGUGGUGGAAGUGUUUUGCCAUGUGGAAGAGCAAACAUUACAGUUCUGUUGAAAAAAUAUCAAUUAAAUUUGGUGCUCUGUUAGGAGAUGGCUUUAAAAAAGCUGGGCUGGACUUCACUCCAAACACUUCUGAUGGCAGUAAGUAGUGCAGGUGUGGAGCUGAGCAGGACGUUCCAACAGUUCCUAGUUGAUGCUGAUGUUGUUCUCAGGUGGGCAUAAAAAUGGAGCAGCUGUAGAGAAACGAUCUGGGCUUCUCUGGGCUUUGGUGCAAGCUGCAGAGCAGUGAGCUGCUUAAUGCUUAAUCAAAUUUUGUAAAACUUAAUGGCUCUAAGCAAUUAGAGGAGCAGAGUUUAAGCCCACUUAUGGCGCCCAUGGUUUUCUUCAGAGCUGCCAUGAGGUUCUUGAGGGAGAAGAUCUGCAAAUGUCAGCUCCCUGCUGGCCUGUGGGGGCCCACAGGCAGGAAACUCAUUGGUGACCUUAUGUAAUAUUUAAGAGAUUUCCUGGACCAAUUAAUUAUAAUACUUUAUAUAGUAACUAACAUAUCUCUCAUAUGUAUCAAAGUUUAAUUCAGUUUAAUUCGUUACUGCCACUCAAUGUAGGCCCAAUUCUCUCUUAUGAAGAUAUAACCAUAUUGGUUCAUUGGGUGCAACAGCAAGGAAAGGGUAGCUCCCUUUCUUCUGCUUUCCAAGCAGAAACACAAAGCUGGCUUGUCACCAGAGACCUCCAUGGUGGAUGAAGACUUUAUCUGAAGUGUGUGGAUCUCUUAUGAGGAGAGAACAGGAUGAGGUGUUCCAGGCCUUUUGGGAUGGGGCCCUGGGCAGUGUGAGCUGGGGGUGCAGCCAGCCCAUCGCAGGGGUCUGGAACUGUAUGAACUUUAAGGUCUGAGCCAUUCUAUGAUUCUAUUGCAUCAAAGCAUCCACUCUGCUGCCCAGGAGGACCAGAAGGAGAUGCCAGCAAGGUGCAAGUGAAGAUGCAGACAGAAUUGGCUCGGCUGGACUGAGGCUGCCUUCAACCCACUGUCUGAAAUGUCAACAUACAGUCCUGGGUGGUGACUGACAGCUUCAUCAGAAGGGCUCAGCCCACACACCCAUCUCUUGAGGAUGAUGAGCAGGCAGAAGUCACUGGAGAUGCUGCUGAUAUUGUUCCUAGCAGGUCUGCAAGAACUUUAAAUCUUUUCAAGGGCAAUCUGUGAAAGGCAUUGCACUGUGUAGUCCAGCAGCACUGUAGUCAGUUAUCAAAGCACUUUUCUUUCAAAGGAAGAUGCCCUUCAGGCUAGAGGAGAAUACAGCCAUCUGUCCUUUCAGCCCUCAUCAGCUCUGCUGGAUUCCUUGACCCACCCUCGUGAGUCAUGGUCAUCCUUGGCUCCUCUGCCCUCCCUUUCUGUCUUGAACAGGCCAGAAGAUGUCCAGAAGCUCCUCAUCUGCCUCCCUGUUUCCUCCCAGACUCUGAACUAUGCUUCAUGGUCUCUGAUUCCUCAUUUUUUCAGGCUUCCUUUUGAUGUCUGCUACAAAUCAGCAGAGACUAAUAGGAAAUAUGUCAGGCAUCGGAGUAUAAACGCAUGGUGAGGGGGGAUUAAAAGGGUUUCAGUGAUGGGAGGAAAGCAAAGCGUUUAGGAAGCAUCAGCUCUCUGUAGGAGAAGUAACAACAAUGCCCAGGAUGUUUUUACCUGUCCUCCCUCUUACAGGAAAAAAUACGCAUUCCUGGGCUGCUUUGGCUUCCAGACAAGCUGAUAAUUUGGAGUCAGACUGGUACAGAGAAAUAGUAGAGGACAAAGAAACUAGGGCUCCCCUGGGUCCUGAGAGGAGCUGUAACCUGAAGCAGUUCCAUUUACGGGGUUAGCUUGCAAUGAAUGGCAUUUCAGCAACAAGAGCUGCUCUACCAGCCAGCCUGGUGCAUGCCAAGGUUUCUGGCCUGUUUGCUACAUCCGUUCCUCUGCAACAACAGGGAGUUUGCUGCUGCAGUCCGUAACAGGAUCCUCAUUUUCCUUUGCAGUUAUGAUGCUCCUCUUCUUGUGAAACCAUUCAGCUCAGCCAUCUCAGAGAACUCCAGUGUGACAAAGCUGCUGCUGAACACAAUAGUCACUGAGAUGUCACUGAGUUCAGAACAUGCUGGAACAUGGGGAAAAAAGCAAAACUGAAAGACUGAACAUUUUCCUGUCCUCAAUAAGAAAUCAGCUCUGCAGUGCUGACCCCCCCCCCGCCCUCAGGCAGAGUGAAGCUGCUCUGCAAGUAGGAUGCUGUGAACUGAGAGAAGCCAAGGAUGAGAAAUAAAGUUAGGUACCUCCAGUGUAAACUAAGGAAGUGAAUCACACGAGAGGUAAGAAGCUGCACUGUGUGGGAGCCAGGUUUUCCAUCAGGAGCACUUCUGUCCUCGUCAUUCUCUGUCUCAGCCUGGCCAGUAAAGCACAGGUCACUGAGCUGAUACCUGUGCCUCCAGCGGAUGGCAAUCAGUCAGUUACUUUCCUGCAUGCUAUACAAGACAGAAUUUAGGGAUACUUGAAGUCAGCUCUCCUUUAUGACUGCCUGAGAACCCCAUACUUGAUUAUCCCAAGCCACAGACAGCCUGUUAGCUCUGUCACUUCCGCACGUCUGAGUGAGCUGAGGCUGUGGAACAUUGCCUACCAGCAGGAAGCGAGAAGUGAGAGAUAAUUCCCUACUUGGCUCUCUUGCUUUCCUGUCCUUUCUUUCACAGGACACAAGAGACACUGGAGAGCUUGAAAAUUACUGUCAAACAGACCAAAGUCCGUGAUGUGCCAUUUGAGCAGGUACUGUUAGCUAAUGCAGGCUGUCUUACUGCUCAGCAAGUGAAGGAUUCCUUGGCACUUUGCUUGGUAAACAGAGAAGAACAACAUACUUUCCAAGUGCUGCAGACCUGCAGCUCGGGGAGGAACACCAGCUCUGUGAGUUCAGCAGUUUGCAGGGAAGUAUCACCCAUAAUAUCACAUGCUGUAUUCUCCUAUUCUUUGUUUUGUGCUGUAUUUCUGCAUGGUCUAACAGCAUGGUGUGAGAUGGAAAAAGGGAGGUGAUGCAGAGCACAGCGAUAAAUAAAUGGUGUUUGCUCAGGGUCGUGCUUCCAAUGGCCUCUCCAUGGCCCUGCUCACCACGGUCACAGCUCUGCUCACCAUGUCAGGCUCAUGGCAAGCGCUGAGCAGUGGAAAAAGCAACGUGAAGACAAGGAGGGAGGAUUGUGUCAGUAAUUGCUCGGCUGUAAUUAUCUGCCAUUGUGUAUUCUGUUAGCUCUUUCUGUUUCUCAUUAGCAUAGAGCAGAGAAAAUAUUUAAUUGCAAUACUGUUCUGUAUAUGGCACUAUCUGCAAGCAGAGAAGACCAAAUCAGGCUGCCCUGUGGGGGUGAGGCACAGAUUAGCUUCUCUGGGGCAGCAGGGUACAGCUGAUGAAAAUCGAGAGGCAGAAUCCAAAUCACUGCUGCCCACCACAGUCUGCACUGGCAGAAGGGCAGCCCCAAGCAGGUGUUCUCUUCUUUCUGCUCAUCACUUGAUGGAGGCAGUCUCACUUCCUGGUCAAGAUCCCAAAGCACUUUGCAAUGACAGACUGAUUUUCCAAAGUACCCAAUUCAAGUUUUAGGCUAUCUGCCGGAUGCAGCUGACCACAGGUACUGCCAGUGGCUGCUGGAAACCUGUACUAGAAAUGGUUCAUCUUGCACUUUGGUGCCGGGGAUGUCAGAGAGCCUCAUGGCAGCAGUUUCUCCAUGGCUUGUGCCAUCAGGUGAGGAUUUGGGUUUCAAACGAUUGCUCUCUGCUCCCAGCCAACCUCUUCCCUGCAGCCGUGCCCUGACUGGGUCUGUGCUCUCCAUUAAUCUGAUCAAUGAGUGUGGUAAUACUGAUACGAUUACUCUGGCAUGUUAGCUUGAACACCUCAGCCAUCCCACAGGAGCCCUACAGCCUCCUGAUCACUGUGUGCUUCCCACAGCCUGCCUGCCGCCGACCUGAAACGCUGCUGUCAACACCAGACAGAGCAGCAGACUUAAUUAAAGGAUGGCAGCAUGCCAGCAUCCAAGAGUGCCAGCUCUGCUGCUUUUAAAGGGGCAUUUUUGAGAAAUGCUGGAAAAUAUCAGGGCAAGCCGUGCUGUGUCAGUGCCGGUGUGGGUCAGGCAUCAGUUCUGCCUCAGGUUUGGCCCACUGGAGGUGCUGGGCAGUCUCUGAUCCGGUGUGUGACACUGCUGAGUGUGCUCACAGGGACCCUUCCUGAGCGCUGCUUCUCCAUCCCAUCCCAAUGCAAAGCAGGGUUCCCCAUGUCUGCAGGCUGGGGCAGAGCAAUGGAACUGUGGGCUCUGUGUCCCUCCAGGUGUGACACAGGGGCUGCAGGGUCACUGUGCUGUGCUCAGAUGUGCUUUGGCAGACAGCUGAACACACAGAUCAUCUUCCCUGCCCAUUUCACCUGCACCAGCCCCAAGGCAGGCCUGCUAAAUUCUCUUUUUGGAGCGUCAAGUUUAUUCACUUCUGUGACAAAAUGAAAGGAAGCAUCCCAUUUUUAUGGCUAUCAGGAAUCUAAACAUCUCCUCCUCAGGGACCCCAGAUGGAUGGCAACCACCUGACCAGUGCCCUGCUCACACUGGCUCAUCCCAGCCCUGUAUUUAACAUGGCAGCUGCCUCCACAGCUCUGCCAGCAGCCAAUGUUACUGCACUCCUGAUGCCGGAGGAUCUCCAUGGAUGGAAGCUCACUGUCCCUCCUCAGAGCACAAAAGCAUUUUUGCAUCUGUGACGGAUGUGGCACAAAAGCGGGAGAGGGACAAACUGCAGCAGGAGAGGAAGGUGAAAUCCUUGGGCACCGUUUUGGAGCAUGCAGAUCCCCACAGCACACGUGCAGAUAACAAACAAUGCCCUGAUUAUGGGACUGCAUUUAGUAUUGUGCACCAAAUUGUGUGAACGCCUGUUGGAAGAAUAGAUACUCCAACAAAACAGAGGACCGGAGGAAAAAGAAAUCAGCUUUUGGUUUCUGAGUCAUAGCUGCGCUUUGCACUCAGGAUUCUGUCCACCGUGUGUCCAGAAUAAUUAUUAAGCAAGUUCUGAUGGAAGAAUUUUAUUUACUCAGCCUCUAAAAGGAAGAAAAGGAUCCUCAAUAGUUGAUUAGAUCAAAAAAGCAUGAUUUAUUUUUCAAUAAGUGCUUGAGAUGUAAGAUCAAUGGCUCGGGGUUGAUUGACGGGAGCUGUUUGCAAAGACCUUAGAUCUAAUUGUACUCAGGCAAUCACACAGACUUUCCUUUGACUAACACGAGACACCAUCCCUCUCGUACAGAUGGGGGAGGAACCCAGAAAAAAACAAGACUUUGCACUGGAAAGUUGCUCAGCAACUGCCCCGUAUUAUUUUUGAGUUGUCCCUGAACACAGCCUCCUUUCUCUUUGAUCUGUGUGUAAUUUUUGUUGCUGCUACAUCUCAGAAAAAGCAACGUUUUAAAAUAAUUGCAACUCCAUUUGCCACAAACGUUUUUUUUUUCUUUCUUUCUUUCCCAAGUGGAGGCAAAGCCCAACAGCAUGAGGGAAGGCAAUGCAUCUCACUGCAGAGGGAAAGAAGUUUGGGUCUGCCUCCUCUGCCAGAGCCUAUUGAGGUGUACUGGGCAGCCCGGGCUCCCACACUGACCUGACUUCUGUUUUUGUGCACGCUCCAUGCGUGACAUUCAGGUGCUCAGGAAUGAUGCUCAGCUUUUGCCACAGCUGUGUUUGGGGCUGGCCAGCACAGCGCUGGGCACUGCAAUACCAGCAUUCCUGCUUUGGAAGCAUUUGAUUCAGAAGUGGUGACAAAGUGAUUCAUGCAGUGAUAGGGCCAAGGCUCAGAUUUCUCACUCCGCUGAAAUUCCAAACCAAGAUUUGUGUAGGAGAUACUUCUUGGCAGUCCUCAUUUGGGAAGGCAUUGCAUCUCAGUGGCCGAUUACCACCAGCCCUGCUGCUGCCUCUUCCAAGACAACGGGCUUUCUGCAAAGCAAAGUGAUCCCCCCUCCAGCUGCCCGUUCCAGGGUUGUUCCAUGCUCUGGAUGACACAAACACCUUGCAGGGACCAGAAAAAGGUCUUCUGGGUUUUGUGGUGUCUCAGACCCUUUUCUUUCUCUCCUUUAUUUUCUGCAACGCACAAGCAGAGGUUUGUGCUGUGUUUGGGUCUCUUAUCACACACAGAAAAAGACCGGCAAGUAAAACAUUGAGUCCAAGCCAUCAAAAAACAGAGAAGAAAAUAAGCCAUGACUUUAAACACUGUUUGCAAAGGAGAGCCACGAGCACCUCUCUGCAGCACUGUACAACCGCUGUUGGUAAUGCUGACCGACACUGGAACAACUCAGUGAGAGUUUGCACAGCUCCU